GAAUGAGAGGAUAGCUUUAAAGCCUUGGGACUCAACUCCAGAUGAAGCAGACCCUGGGCCCCAGACAGGGUGACUGUGCCAGACCCAGCCUGGAAUACAUGGGAGGGUGGCGAAGCCACAUGUUUACCCAAUUUCCAGAACCCGUCUGGCUUAAUGCACUGGCCUGGUUAUGACACCAGCUCUUUGCUUCCCCUCAGCUAACGGCCACCAGCCCACCAGCCCCAGGUUCCUCUUUGCUGAGCUGCCUGCGCUAAGGGUCUCUUGGGACUGUGCCUUCUUUGCUCUGACUUGGGAAAACUGGAGGAGGUCAACAGAUUGCUGGCCCAUUACAGGAGCUCAAUGGGUAUUUGUUGACUGAAUGAGUGAAUGCAUGAAUGAGUGGAGUGGGAGGAUAAAUGAGGAUUAGUGGUGGACUGUGUGUGAAUGAGUGUCUAUGGAUGAGUCCUUGGGCCCCAGAGAUGGGACAGUUUGUGGGUAGGUUGUGUCAGCACAGAUGCAAGUGUGGAAAGCCAGAAGCUGAUGACAGUUCACCAAGGGG
Molecule: long non-coding RNA, 538 nt
Filed under: Marmota monax (woodchuck)
Lineage: Eukaryota; Metazoa; Chordata; Mammalia; Rodentia; Sciuridae
Source: RNAcentral